Molecule: non-coding RNA, 474 nt
Organism: Phalacrocorax carbo (great cormorant)
Lineage: Eukaryota; Metazoa; Chordata; Aves; Suliformes; Phalacrocoracidae
Source: RefSeq, a predicted model, not a curated record
UCACAGGGCUCAGCUACCGGAGCGCAGUUGGGGGGAAGUGGGCACCCACGGCUCCCACCUGCCCCUCGGCCGAGGAGCUCGUGCUUGCCGCAGGCAGGAGGAGGAGGAGGAAAUUCAAGAGGGGGAAGGCAGCCGCAGCAGCCAGCCCGUGAUUCAUGCGCACAGCUCAUCAGGCCUCCCUGGAAAGCCCCCGAGGAGGCACAGCUCUCGGACACAUCUGUGCGGGCGGCACAGUUGCCAGCGGCGGGCUGGGCCAGCCCGCACCUGCACCGGGGCCGCGGGCCGCAUUGUUCUGCCUUCCUGCGCCUGCCCCCCUGCGCGGCUCCCACCCGCCAAGGGAAGAAGCGUCUGCAAAGCAGCCGUGCCCGCCAGAGGCACCGCGCCGGGCAGAAUGCUGGCAGGAAGGGUUUGACUCACACUGGAAUUAAUGAAAACAAAAGUCUGCAAAUAAAUAGCAUUCGCACUGUUUCCUCA